CACGCCUUCACAUACACUAAACGGAGAAUGCUCGAAAUGCGUUUUCUACAUGAAUUAUUGUCUUUCUUAAUCAAUCUUAAGGCGAAUAGUCGCGAUUUACGCUCGUUACAUUUUCAUAAAUACGGAUUUCUUUGAAGCGAUUGCGGAAAACGUCGGAUUUCAAACGAAAAAAGGUUGGCAUUAGUCGAAGUUUUCCGCCGUAAGAGGUCACGUCACUCAACGAACCCUGGAGCCAUGUAAUUUAUGGAAUCUGCAUUCGCGCAAAGAUGAAGUUGUGAAACCCGGAUAUUCCGUCGGAUACCGCCGGGAAGGACGGCGUGGUCGCACACGUCGCACUGGAACACCGGGGCGUAACGUCACUGCGUGGAGGGACCCCAGCUCCUCACCACAAUGGACCCCCAGCGAAACAUCUGCUCACAAGGUGAAAAUCAGCGUAGAAUCCCCCGGACACGCUCCACUCCUCCAUACUCUGGCAAUUCCUGCACUAUAAAUCCUAAUUAGCCACAAUUCAGUAAUUGCAAUUUGUUACGAUACUAUUUUUCAAUUUCAAGGCCGCAGCCCUGCAGAUCACAACGGAGGCGUCCGGCUAAACGGAACGGCAUGGGACCACAUGCGAGAUGUAAAACCUCAGCCCAACAUUACCGUGAAAAAUGAACUUGAGGUUGCUUUUUUAAAUUCAGACGAGUACGCCGAGCGUAUCGCGUCAGGCUGUUCCUCCAUCUUGUGUGUAAUUAGGAUUUUCCUGCCGGAUUUUGGAGGGAAGCGGUGUUCCAUCGGAGGAACAAGCCCUCGGAGCCUCGGAGCUUCACGCUGACUUCCCGCACCUCCUGCCCUUUAUGUGGAACGUGGGAUGUUUCCACCCCCCACUUGCUGCCAGGUCUCCGCCAGCAUCAACUCACCCCAAUUGACCCACAGAACCAGGCCGGAACAGAGCGCUGGGGUCCGGGCAAGCGGCACAAGGAGUUAUAAGGCUUGGGGGGGGCGGCCCGUCUGUCUGGUCGGGACCGGGACGCGGUAUCAGACCUCGGGGGGCCCCAAACAGUGCUGGGACUAGGACCAAGUAUUGUUUAUGGGUGCACUGUAAGCGCCCAUGCCCCCCCCUUUUCCGCCUGAGUGAAAUCAUGGUAUCUGCAGGAUGUCCGUCCCACGGUGGUGAUACCCGGAUCCUGCGGUCGCCCCCAGUCCUGUACUGGGCUGGCCUCCACAGACCACUGCAGCUCCUCAGAAUCACUCUGAGCCAAUCAGCGCUUGAGAUAACGCAGCCCCUGCAGCUGGCUGCCCGGCCUUUGAAAACCCCAGGGCGACACCCCCCCCCCACUCUCUUAUCUCCUCCAACUUGAAAAGCAGUAUUGAUCCUGGAAGAGCUAAGAUAACAGUAUGGAUGAUACUGCCCAGUGAGAAUGACAGCUACGUAAACUGUGGAGGGCGCCGUCCCAUUCAUCUGCCAGCGGAGAGAGACUACUGGGAUUGUUAUCCUGAGCGUGGGGGGGGGAUAACACUCAGAGUCCUUAUCAGGGGGCUCAUGGACCUCAUUUGCAAUACUCACGGGCCAAUACUCAUCUGAAACGCGUCAAGAUCCUUUGCUUAAUAUACAUUUUCUUUGUUGCACAGGUAAAAAUAACAUAGAUAAAUUAAUGAAACAGUCUGUAAAUUCACCCUGAAUCAGUGUGGAAUAGAAGAGCUGCUUGAUAACUGUCAGAUAACUGUUAGUCGUUUUUUUUUUUGUAUGGAAGAUGAAAAUACAAAAAAAUGUCCUACUUCAAAUUAACUACACGGAAGUGAUUGGCUGGAAAACCCUGAAGCUCU
Molecule: long non-coding RNA, 1806 nt
Organism: Paramormyrops kingsleyae
Lineage: Eukaryota; Metazoa; Chordata; Actinopteri; Osteoglossiformes; Mormyridae
Source: RefSeq, a predicted model, not a curated record